Spinacia oleracea (spinach) is the source of this 238-nucleotide long non-coding RNA. RefSeq lists it as uncharacterized. The record is from RefSeq and is a predicted model, not a curated record. Lineage: Eukaryota; Viridiplantae; Streptophyta; Magnoliopsida; Caryophyllales; Amaranthaceae. The transcript has 3 exons.
UAACAAUGUCUGUUGUACUGUAUUUUUUUUUUUAAUUAUGAUUUCCUGUUUUUAAUUAAUUGCAGUCACUGAUGAUUGCUUCAAUCCCAAAUAUCAUUGGAUGGUUGGUCGUAUCAUUUUCGAGAGAUAUCUCAUUUCUGUACAUGGGGCGACUGCUGGAAGGUUUUGGUGUUGGUAUUAUUUCCUACACGGCACAGUGGUAGAUACUAAAAUAUGUCACCCAACCGAUUUUGAUUUC